This is an RNA transcript of Formica exsecta, 10562 nucleotides long. It is a transcript of the gene named calcium-transporting ATPase sarcoplasmic/endoplasmic reticulum type, with no coding region annotated. Lineage: Eukaryota; Metazoa; Arthropoda; Insecta; Hymenoptera; Formicidae. The record is from RefSeq and is a predicted model, not a curated record. The transcript is spliced from 14 exons.
UGCGUCUCGUGCAUUCGCGCCUCGUGAUAGCUCCCGCGUGCAAUUCGGAGCAGCAAUAGCAUCUCGCCUCGGCGCUUGUUUCUUUCUCCUUUUCCUUUCGUCGCGAAAGAAGACGGGGAAACGGCGUCGAUCGUCGUGGUCUGUAGUGAAGUUUGUCGCGGGAUAAGCAAAGCGCGCUGCCACCGCCGCCGCCGUCAUCGCCGUCGCUAACGCGGCUAACCUAAAUAUUCGGAAGCCGUAACGUAAUUUUCUCUCGUCACUCCCUCCCUCUCUCUCUCUCUCUCUCUCUCUCUUUUUCUCUCCCUGUCUCAAUCUCCCUCUCCUGUCUCUUCCUCCCCGCCUUUUUCUCUCUUUUUCUCCUUCUCCAUCUCUCUCGCUCUAUUGACACGUCGUCAUCAACGAUAGCCGUGUCUGUCGCGCGUCAACGCGGCGGACUUCCUCGCUUUACGUGCUGACAACGCGAAUCAGAAAUACCGCCGAGGAUACCGUAGUGAGCCGCGAGUGCAUGUCGCGAGGACCCGUCGCGCUCCGAACAGUGAUUCUAAGCCGCGACGAAGUGCGCGCCGCGCUUCUUCCGUCGUCCUCGUUCUCGUUCUCGUCCUCCUUGUCGUCCUCCUUGUCGUCGGUGGCGGCGGCAACUCGUCACGCCGAUCCAUCGUCGCGUUUCGUAAUUUCGCAAGGACGUGGAACGCCGUGGGACAAUCUCCUGCGUCUCUACGAUAUCCUCGAGACUGUUAGUGUGAAUGAACGUAUACGAUCACUGAAAGGAUAACAUUAGUGAAGCAUCUACGAAGCAGUAAUCAUGGAAGACGGCCAUUCUAAAACUGUGGAAGAAGUAGUAAAUUACUUCAACGUCGAUCCUGACAAAGGACUGUCUCCCGAUCAAGUCAAAAGGAACCAGGAGAAAUAUGGUCUUAACGAAUUGCCAGCUGAGGAAGGAAAAUCCAUCUGGCAACUCGUUCUGGAACAGUUCGAUGAUCUUCUAGUUAAGAUUCUUCUAUUAGCCGCUAUUAUUUCUUUUGUAUUAGCCUUAUUUGAAGAGCACGAGGAUGCGUUCACGGCCUUCGUCGAACCCUUCGUUAUCCUGCUCAUUCUCAUCGCCAAUGCCGUAGUCGGCGUCUGGCAGGAACGGAACGCCGAGUCUGCGAUAGAGGCGCUCAAGGAAUAUGAGCCAGAAAUGGGUAAAGUUGUACGAUCGGACAAAGCCGGCGUCCAGAGGAUCCGGGCCAAAGAGAUCGUGCCUGGUGACAUCGUGGAAGUAUCGGUCGGCGACAAGAUCCCGGCGGACAUCCGUCUUACCAAAAUCUUCUCGACCACUCUUAGGAUUGAUCAAUCUAUUCUGACCGGUGAAUCGGUGUCUGUUAUUAAGCACACCGAUCCCGUGCCCGACCCACGCGCCGUCAAUCAGGACAAGAAGAACAUCUUGUUCUCUGGUACUAACGUUGCCGCUGGCAAGGCCCGCGGUGUCGUCAUUGGAACUGGCUUGAACACGGCCAUCGGUAAGAUUCGUACAGAGAUGUCGGAGACCGAGGAGAUCAAGACACCAUUGCAGCAAAAAUUGGAUGAGUUCGGCGAACAGUUGUCAAAGGUUAUCUCGGUGAUUUGCGUCGCCGUGUGGGCCAUCAACAUCGGCCACUUUAACGAUCCGGCUCACGGUGGAUCCUGGAUCAAGGGUGCCAUCUACUAUUUCAAGAUCGCCGUCGCUCUCGCUGUAGCCGCUAUUCCUGAGGGUUUGCCCGCCGUUAUCACGACUUGCUUGGCUCUGGGUACCAGGCGUAUGGCCAAGAAGAACGCUAUUGUACGAUCCUUGCCGUCUGUAGAAACUUUGGGUUGCACGUCCGUCAUCUGCUCUGACAAAACUGGCACUCUGACGACUAACCAGAUGUCCGUUAGCCGAAUGUUUAUCUUUGAGAAGAUCGAUGGUAAUGACAGCAGCUUCCACGAAUUUGAGAUCACCGGAUCGACUUACGAACCCAUCGGUGAAAUCUUCUUGAGGGGACAGAAGAUCAAGGGACAGGAUUAUGAGACUUUGCAUGAGAUCGGUACCAUCUGCAUCAUGUGCAACGACUCCGCUAUCGAUUUUAACGAGUUCAAACAAGCAUUUGAGAAGGUUGGCGAGGCCACAGAGACCGCCCUAAUCGUUCUCGCCGAGAAGGUCAAUCCGUUCGGUGUGCCGAAGAGUGGCCUGGAUCGCCGAACUGGCGCCAUUGUCGUCAGGCAAGAUAUCGAGACGAAGUGGAAGAAGGAAUUCACACUAGAAUUCUCACGCGAUCGCAAGUCCAUGUCGUCGUAUUGCGUGCCUCUGAAACCAACAAAGCUGGGAAACGGACCGAAACUAUUCGUCAAGGGUGCGCCAGAGGGUGUGCUAGACAGGUGCACGCACUGCCGCGUCGGUGGUCAGAAGGUGCCACUUACUUCAACUCUGAAGAACCGCAUUUUGGACCUGACCCGGCAAUACGGAACUGGUAGAGAUACCCUACGCUGUCUCGCUCUCGCCACUGCCGAUCAUCCGAUGAAGCCCGACGAGAUGGAUCUCGGCGAUUCUACCAAGUUCUAUACAUACGAAAGGGAUCUCACGUUCAUCGGCGUAGUAGGUAUGCUUGAUCCGCCUCGCAAGGAAGUAUUCGAUUCGAUUGUUAGGUGCCGCGCCGCCGGUAUCCGCGUAAUCGUCAUCACCGGCGACAAUAAGGCCACUGCUGAAGCUAUUUGCCGACGUAUCGGAGUCUUUGGAGAGGAUGAAGACACCACUGGCAAAUCAUACUCUGGACGUGAAUUCGAUGAUUUGCCGAUAUCGGAGCAGAAAGCUGCUUGCGCUAGAGCUCGUCUCUUUUCUCGUGUAGAACCGGCUCACAAGUCCAAGAUCGUUGAAUACCUACAAAGCAUGAACGAGAUUUCUGCCAUGACUGGUGACGGUGUAAACGACGCUCCCGCCUUGAAGAAAGCCGAGAUUGGUAUCGCCAUGGGUUCUGGCACUGCGGUCGCGAAAUCUGCUUCGGAGAUGGUGUUGGCAGACGACAACUUCUCCUCCAUUGUAGCCGCCGUAGAAGAGGGCCGUGCCAUUUAUAAUAAUAUGAAACAAUUUAUUCGUUAUCUUAUUUCUUCCAAUAUCGGCGAAGUCGUCAGUAUAUUCUUGACUGCUGCCCUUGGUCUUCCUGAAGCUCUGAUCCCGGUCCAACUUUUAUGGGUCAACUUGGUUACUGAUGGUCUUCCAGCUACCGCUCUCGGUUUCAAUCCACCUGAUUUGGACAUUAUGAGCAAGCCCCCUCGCAAAGCUGAUGAAUCACUUAUUUCCGGAUGGCUGUUUUUCCGCUAUUUGGCUAUUGGUGGAUAUGUAGGCGCUGCCACUGUCGGUUCGGCUGCUUGGUGGUUCAUGUAUAGUCCGAAUGGUCCUCAACUGAACUAUUAUCAAGUUACUCAUCACUUGGCGUGCAUUGGUGGUGGAGAGGAAUUCAAGGGUAUUAACUGUAAGAUCUUCUCUGACCCUCACCCCAUGACUAUGGCUCUCUCUGUGUUAGUCACUAUUGAAAUGUUAAACGCCAUGAACAGCUUGUCUGAGAAUCAAUCGCUCAUCAGUAUGCCGCCUUGGUCCAAUUUGUGGCUCAUCGCCUCCAUGGCUCUUUCUUUCACACUCCAUUUUGUCAUCUUGUAUGUCGAUGUUCUUUCGUCCGUAUUCCAAGUGACCCCGUUGACGUGUGAAGAAUGGCUUACCGUUAUGAAGUUCUCCAUUCCAGUGGUACUUCUCGACGAAACCUUGAAGUUCAUUGCCAGAAAAUUCACAGACGGUGAGAAUCCAAUUUACACCGUGCAUUGGAUCGUUCUAAUGUGGGCUGUGUUCUUUGGACUGUUGCAUAUUUGUCCCAUAUAGAACGUCCGCGAAAUAAUAAUAAUAUUAAUCUAGCAGAUGAUGUUUUUUUCCUAUGGAAAAGCAUCCGCGAUUAUAAAAUUGGACUCGCAAUUGCAUUUAACCGAAGCUCUUCCCACCGUGACGCGGGAAGGCGCGAGAUAAGUUAUUAACAGAGUGCGUUCAAGUGAGAUUUUAACAAAUUUGACUGUUGUGCAUGGUGUUAGUACAACCAUAUGUAUAUGAGAUACGCCACCAAGGCCCAUCAUGCCCGCAUCACACACCGUACCCUGACGUCGUUCAACGAUCACGGGUUUCGAGUGGCAUCGAGUGAUCCAUAAGAAAGAACCCCAGCGUAAAUCAAAGAUUGUGAUCGUUAAAUUAUUUUCUACGAGUGCCUUUUGAACAUUGAAUUUCCUCUGCAACCAAUACGAAAUUGUUCGUAGAUGUUCUUUCCGAUAGAUGUGUUUGAAACGUCCCAAUCCUUGUUCUGUGUACUAUUAUUUUUGUACCUUUUUUUUUUUUUUUUUUUUUUUUUUCUUGAGCACUCUUCGGUUAGCAAUGGAUAAAUUGUGGCACCAGUCCUAUAGUGCACCAAUGCAGUUAAAACUCAUGUUGAUUCAUUGCACGCAUUUCUCCAUCUGCGUUUUUCGCCGAUAUUAAUAAUGUUAUAACAUAAACUUUUAUAUCUGUGCAUGUUCGCGGAGUGUAUAAUUAAUCUUCAUCGAUUUGGAAAGUACAAAAUACAGCAUGUUAUAAUCGUACCGGGAAUAAUAACUUCGGUUUUCAGCGCAGAUGAUACAUUCGUGACAUGAGCAGAGGCAUUUCUAUUAAAGUAAUAGGCGCGUUUACACAACGAAGACAAUAAAACACUCGGCAGAAACGCGGAUGGAAAGAACAAUUCCUAUAGUAGUUAUAUUAUAUAGUGGCUAUAUUAUAUUUGACUACCUUUUCCUCUGAUUUUUAUUUUCAGAUUGAGUUUAAUGCACCACGCAUGCAUUAAAUUAGCAUAAUAUUUGGUUUACGCGAUUAACAUAUACGUUUCAUAAAUUCUCCGCUUACACUUCUUUUAUGUUGCUUUUGAUGUUGCUUGUUAUAAAUCGCAUUUAUUGAUGGAUUCUUAGUGUCUGGUGUUCCUGUUUCGACCCCGAAAUCAGAACCGAAGCUGUCUGAGCGUUUGCCGAAAUUUCAAGGGAAUACAAGAACUUCGCACUAACGGAUCUCAUUUUGUGUUCUGCAUACCGUGUCUUCCUUCCUGUAGAGAUAAUCCAUGCACGGUACUAACAGCACGUGUUUGUAAGAUCCUCUCUUGUUGUAAUCUAUUCCUUUUAAUUAUUAUGUAUCCUAUUGUGCCAUGCGAUUAACGAACGAUUCAAUUUCGCGCAUCCUUCAGAGAAUAUGCGCGCUCAGUAUAUAUAUUGUUAAUUCAUUUAAGUAGAGAACAGAAGACUUGGUUUUCAAUGUCUUUAUGAAUUAACUUUCCAUCAAGAUCGUCGAGUCGUAUAUUAUGCUAAUUUUUCUUUCUACAAGCGCGAUAAAUCGUGAAAUGAAAUUUUGUAAAUAUUAACAUCUCUAACCAAUCGUAAUCGGCACAGUAGGAUUUCUUCUCAUUUCUCAUUCUGGUUUGCGAUAGCGUCUGUCUCUUAUGUGUAUAACGUAUUAUAUAUAUGCAUAUAUAUACAUACAUACAUACAUACAUACAUAUAUAUAUAUAUAUACAUAUAUAUAUGUGUAUGUGAUUUAUGUAUUUGAAAGAUUUAUGCAGUACAACAUAGAUUCGCGUAUCGCUAAUUUCCGGAUAUGAACUGCAGAGAUUCGUAAGUGUAGAAUAAGGCAACCGUCAAGCAGAGGAAUCAUAUAAUUAAUCUCAUUAUUUUUUUCAAAACACAGUCCAUAGAUUUUCUAGUACAUUUGUUCAUAUACAUUAUUAUCGGAGCAGUGUUCCAAACAUGAACAUAUUCAAUGUCAGGAUCGACUAUCCAUUUUCAUUAAUAGUGAUAUCAUUAUGUUGCUCGUAGAAUUAAUAAAACGACGUAGAAUUUUUUUAAAUAAAUUCAUCAUUGAUAAUAAAAUAAUUAGCUAGACGCAUAUAUCAUUGUUUUCCGUCUCUACUCCCGAAAAGCUUUUUGCAUUUUUAUUUUAAGCACGUGCAUAUUAAACUUACGACAUCCUUAAUCGCAAAAUUCUGAUUUUAAUGAAAUUUUAUGAAUAUAUAGAGGAGGCUAAUACAAAUGAAUUUAAUAAUUUUUGACUAAUACACAGAAAAUUGCUUUAGGAUUGAAGAUUCUCAAAAGAAUUAUUGUUUUCUACUAAUAUAUAAUAAAUUAGUUUAUAGAUUAUUUAAAAUGUUAAAAUAAUAUAUUCAAUUUGAAACAUACAAUUUAAUUUGACAAAAUGGAUCAAUAUAAAAGAAAUCGGUUUUUUAUUGUUACUGAAGAAGAUUGCUUCAGGAAUGAUAUAUUAUUUAUUACAGCUAUUUUUUGGCGGAAAAAAAAGUUUUUUCUGGUGGCUCCCUUCUCUAUGUAUAUACAAAAUUUUAUUAAGGAUCAUCGCUGAGUCUGCUUCAUUGAACUGUGAUAUAGUUUCAUUGACGAAAAUUUAUUUGUUGGAAUUUAAAUUACGGAUGGAGCUUCCCAUUUAUUUUCUCGUUUAUAACAUAAUUUCAAACGAUCAAUAUGCAGACAUCGCCGAUCCUCAGAACUUUUGCAUUAGGAAAAACAAUCUCUGAUUAUUAUUGAAAAUAUUUUUCGAUUGAGUGAACAAACGAGUUCGGUCACUGCCUUAGCUACACGCGCCACACAUGAAACGAAUAAUCGGUGUCGUCACGAGUACGUGGGCCUUCUGAUGCAUCUGACCGCUUAGUCAGUUCACCCCUUAGAGCGUAUUCUGUCGGUGCAAGCAUAUGAUCCGCAUCUUAAAUACAUGCGUUAAACGGUGCAUUUAGCGCGUUAAAGCGCUUGUCUUAAUCUCGAUUUCUUUCUCUUUCCAUUUAUUAGUGACACGUUUAGCAAGAAUCUUUAUUUUUCACAAUAUGAUAUUUCUAAAGCUUAGUUUCCUCGUUACAUUCGAUCCGAGAGAAGAUAAUCGGCGCAAGAGCAAUGUUAUAUCGUGACACAUGAUGAUAAAUUGUUUCGAGAAUAGCUUUUACACUUCCAUCGACAGUGUACGAUCCAAGGUUCAUCCGGAUCUUCGUAGAGAUCGCCGUAAGACGCCGCGAUCCAGCGUGCGAAACGCAACACGUGCUCCGCUCCUCGGACAUUGCAAACGCAACAAGACUGACGAUGUGUUCCGCAGAGGAGCGGAUGCAUCCGCUGCGUUUUCCGCACGUGACGCAUAAUAAUUUAAUUGCGCCGUAGCAGGCGCCUUUCAGGAAUCGUGCCGUAGGCACGAUAGUGUAAUAUAAUUAAUUAAUUAUUAAUAUAUUAAUUAUAUAUAUGCUUUAAUUAUUAAUAUAUUAGUGUAAUAUAUUAAUAAUUGAAGCAACGGUUAAGGCGUGAUACUUUGGUAUGGGCAUAAUUAAAACUUAAUCAGACCGAACGAGUUAGCGCUAUUACGCACUAACAAAGAAUCUAAUACAAUUUUGUGACGCUCAAUAAAUUUGGCGAAAUUAAUCGGGGAGUCUGGAUGUGCGAGAUAAUGCAUACGACGAAUCUCGAGAAAGCUCCCAAAAAUUCAUAAAUCAUUAAACCUUUAAAGGUCUGAAAACCUAGUAAAAUAGUACAGGGAAAAAUUCUCGGGAAAAAGGAAAGUUUUUAUUUUCUUCGGGAUUCGUCGCUCGUUACUUCUUUGCGUCCGAAUCUCUGCUUUGUCCACGAUGUAUCUGUAAGUACUUGUGUAUUGUAUUUUACGUUUGAUCGAGAAUGACGGAGUAGUGUCAUCUCGACGAAAGAGCUCUGCGUGACGUUAUGCAAUUAUCGAUGAGUUUGUUUAAUGAAAAUUGUAAUCUGAGUAUGCAUAUUUCGAUUAGUUUUUGAUGCUGAAUAUGAAAAGAAAAAUUGAGAUUUAUAUUUAUAAUUGUGUCUCUUUACACAUAUAUUUAACAUAUCAUAUAUAAUUUAUGAAUUAUAAUUUAAAAACAAAUUAUACUUUUUUUAUCCGACAAAAGUUAAAUACUCGUGGCUGAUAUCGUUGAAUAUUUCUCAUCGAUCUUUGUGUAACGUCGAGACAAUUAAACGCAGUGUCCAGCGACGAUGAGACUACAAUCGUGACGUUUCCUGCAGGAAGUACCUAUAUUUCUUUAACGAUAAUAAAGUAAAUAUUAAUAUUAUUAACUUAUGGAAUACUAUAAUAUUGAGUGAUUUGAAGUAUACACACUCGCCGCGGAUGCGUUUCGCGGCGAACGAUACCCGGCAAUUAUGGUUCUGGGUGUAAUCAGAUUCGCGUAGAAAUGAGAAAAAAAUAAAAAUAAAUAAAGAGAAAAAUAUUAUAUAACACGAAUCCGACUGUUGCGCGAGUUACGAGAUCCAGUCUAUAUAUGAUAAAUAUAAUUACGUCAUAAUUAUCGCCAUUUUUUUUGUUGGUGUUCGCAAUUUCUUUAUUUAUCGUCUGAUUCAUCUUUUUGUCUAUUCUUUUAUGUAUUCAAUUCAAGCUCGUACGGAAUGAUAUUAUAACAAGUGAGAGUAUAUAUAUGGCGAUGUGGAACGAUUUAGAGUGCAUUACUUGUUAUAAUAAAAAGAAUCAUGUGUUACUAAUGUGCGUGUCUCGAUUCUCAAUGAUUAGCCUAUUGAUCCGCCGGUGACUUUCGCUUCAAUUUGUCAACUGGCGCUCGCGUAUUUUACUGUCACAGAACUGAACACUUAAUAUACCGCUGACCGUAAUAAGUGUUUGGUUUAGUCUGUAUCCCUAAGUAUGCCUAAAGCCCCACUCUAACUUCUUGCCUUUUUCUCUUUUUAUCUGUUAUUCCCUUUCACGAGAUUCUGAAUGCUCAUUGUAACUACAGCUGGCUUAAGACAUUCAAGCGUGGGCCAAAGUUGUACGAAGCUACUAAUCGUGAAUAUAAAGUUAGAAUUUUAGAAUGAAAAUUAAAUCUCUAUUUUUUACUCGUAUUUUCACGAAUAAAGAAGUAAGAUUAAAAUUUUUUAUCAAAUAUUUUUAAAGUUACGUGAAAAGAUUAUAUAUUCUGUAGAGAAUUAUUAGGUUUAAAAUUAAAAUUAUACAGAUUACUCAAUAAUUUCAAAAUAUUAGGACUACGGUCCGCUCAUCCAAUGAUUAAGGCAGCCUUUGCUUACAUAUAUAUGUAAUCUUAGGAAUUUCUCGAUAUAAUAAAUCUCGAAAGGUUUGCAAGGACUUCUCGGUGGGGACCAUCUUGAGAACAGUUUGCUUAUGUGGAGGCAAGAUUUCGGAAGAUAAAACACCUUUAACGGUGAUGCCGAAAUACCAUUUUUUUCGACAUAAUGAGUCCUCGAAUCUUUCCAUUAUCGCGGCUACUAUGUGUCCUCCCCCUCCCCCUCUCUUCGGCCCUCUUUCCUACGGAAAAUUGUGUUUGGAGUUCUUGCAUGCGUUCAUUGGAAAAACGAACCGAUGUGAUAACUGUCAACCCAGAAUGACCCAAGUCCUAAAAUCGAGGAAGUUGAAAAACAUCACCCCCGUGAUACAAAACGCGACCUCGACACCCCUUUUUAUUAACUUCCUGCCUGCUGGUGUGCCAAACUGUACAGUCACAAGGAAGGACAGUCUUCGAGAACGACUACGGGCGCGUGGAUGAAACAGUGGCACCGUCAGUGACGCCGACAAAAUAAAGACCGAAUGGGCGUAGGGCGAAUCUUGAGAAAGAGAGAGAGAGACACCUAUAAUCGGCCGCAGCCGAGAAAUCUCGGCGACUCAGCACUCACACUACACUCUCGAGCUGCUCUCGAAGAGGGAUCGGAGACGUCUUUUAUAACAGAAAAAAAAAUUCCCCCCGAGAAUGCGAAACUAAAGCAUCCCUCCUUCCCCCAACACACGCACCGCCACAAGCAUCACAUAAACGCGCGCACGCACUUGCCGCGUUUGCACGUUUGUCUGCAUGACAAUCGGACGUCCAGAUCGAUCUCCCGAUCGAGAGAUGACGGAAAAGAAGGAAGAGAACGAAUGUACGACUAGCUUAGAAUGAUUAGAAUAUUGUCGCAGUAUUUGUCCAUCUUUAAUUGAUACUUUUAUUCGUUUAUUUGUUUAUUACGUUGUACGCGCCAGUAGGUUUCUAAUUAUAUCAUGAUUGUGAUGAUAAGAAAAUAAGGAUAUUGAUUUUACUCGAAUCAAAACUCGUACACUUUAUUUCAUUUGUUACUAUUGUAUCAUCGAAAGAAGAACGCAUCGUCGAGACACAAUAAUUUUUUUUAUCAAAAGGAACAGUUUUUUUAUGCAAAACUGCAACGAUUUUGUGACCUUUUCUUUUCGCAAGGAUCCGUACAUUCGUUCGUUUGAGCAAAUCUCAUCCGAUUAAUCCGAGGACCGAUCGUUUCAGAUCGCCGAUGUCGAGAGGAGGAUGCAGGAGCGCGCUAUAAAAUAGCCAGCCUUGCACACUACGAAUCUUUUCCACUUUAGUUCUCCAUUCUUUUUUUCUUUAGGUCACCGCCGCUCGUUAAUAGUUCUCGUGUGUGUUAUGUUGCAGUAAAUGAGGUGGUCGUUGACAAGUGGUCCCAUUAAAUGAGUGGGUCGUCGACAGGCACGAAUCCCUCACACUCCGUCGCCGCCGCCCCACCGAGCGCGCGCAAAAAAAGAGCAAGCUCAGCCCGAAAAAAAA